RNAcentral lists this ribosomal RNA (301 nucleotides) under uncultured bacterium. Its description in RNAcentral is "partial 16S ribosomal RNA". It matches the Rfam family "Bacterial small subunit ribosomal RNA", at positions 509 to 809 of the family's 1533-position model. The record is from RNAcentral.
CAGUAGCCGCGGGAAUACGUAGGUGGCAAGCGUUGUCCGGAAUUAUUGGGCGUAAAGGGCUCGCAGGCGGUUUCUUAAGUCUGAUGUGAAAGCCCCCGGCUCAACCGGGGAGGGUCAUUGGAAACUGGGAAACUUGAGUGCAGAAGAGGAGAGUGGAAUUCCACGUGUAGCGGUGAAAUGCGUAGAGAUGUGGAGGAACACCAGUGGCGAAGGCGACUCUCUGGUCUGUAACUGUCGCUGAGGAGCGAAAGCGUGGGGAGCGAACAGGAUUAGAUACCCCUGUAGUCCCUGUCUCUUAUAA